GUCAUUGGGAAUAUAUAAAAACCUAAAGGCAUAAUUAACUUAACUGUUAUUUAAUGGGAUCAAAUAUAUAUAUUAUAAAUAUAUAUAUAUUCCAUCCCGGGACGUUCUAUACAGUUAUGCAUUUUAAUAUAUUUAUAUAUAUUAUAUAUGCCUCUAACUAGAGCGUACCUUGAGCAUAUAUGUUGUGACCCGAAAGAUGGUGAACUAUACCUGAUCAGGUUGAAGUCAGGGGAAACCCUGAUGGAAGACCGAAACAGUUCUGACGUGCAAAUCGAUUGUCAGAAUUGGGUAUAGGGGCGAAAGACCAAUCGAACCAUCUAGUAGCUGGUUCCCUCCGAAGUUUCCCUCAGGAUAGCUGGUGCAUUUAAAUAUUAUAUUAAAUAAUCUUAUCUGGUAAAGCGAAUGAUUAGAGGCCUUAGGGCCGAAACGACCUUAACCUAUUCUCAAACUUUAAAUGGGUAAGAACCUCACCUUUCUUGAUAUGAAGGUUGAGGUUAUGAUAUAUUGUGCCCAGUGGGCCACUUUUGGUAAGCAGAACUGGCGCUGUGGGAUGAACCAAACGUGAUGUUAAGGCGCCCAAAUUAACAACUCAUACUGAUACCAUGAAAGGCGUUGCUUGCUUAAAACAGCAGGACGGUGGACAUGGAAGUCGUAAUCCGCUAAGGAGUGUGUAACAACUCACCUGCCGAAGCAACUAGCCCUUAAAAUGGAUGGCGCUCAAGUUGUAUGCCUAUACAUCACCGCUAAAAUAUAUGAUUUAUAUAAAUAUUUUUGUUAUAAAUUUUGAAAUUUUAGUGAGUAGGAGGGUACAAUGGUGUGCGUAGAAGUAUUUGGCGUAAGCCUGUAUGGAGCCGCCAUUGGUACAGAUCUUGGUGGUAGUAGCAAAUAAUCGAAUGAGACCUUGGAGGACUGAAGUGGAGAAGGGUUUCGUGUGAACAGUGGUUGAUCACGAGUUAGUCGGUCCUAAGUUCAAGGCGAAAGCCGAAAAUUUUAAGUUAAAUGUUAUAAAAAAUUAUACUUAUAAAUUUUUAUGAACGAAAGGGAAUACGGUUCCAAUUCCGUAACCUGUUGAGUAUACGUUUGUUAUUAAAAAUGGGCUUUUAUGCUCAUCCUGGCAACAGAAACAACCAUAAAGAAGCCGUCGAGAAAUAUCGAAAGAGUUUUCUUUUCUGUUUCAUAGUCGUACUACCAUGGAAGUCUUUCGAAGAGAGAUAUGGUAGAUGGACUAGAAGAGCAUGGCAUUUACUGCUGUGUCGAUAUUUUCUCCUC
Molecule: ribosomal RNA, 1269 nt
Filed under: Smeryngolaphria sp. D041
Lineage: Eukaryota; Metazoa; Arthropoda; Insecta; Diptera; Asilidae
Description: eukaryotic LSU rRNA
Rfam family: Eukaryotic large subunit ribosomal RNA
Source: RNAcentral